This 4505-nucleotide long non-coding RNA is filed under the name Marmota monax (woodchuck). Lineage: Eukaryota; Metazoa; Chordata; Mammalia; Rodentia; Sciuridae. The record is from RNAcentral.
CUAAUAGUAUGGCAGGCUAAAUUUGGGGGACAUCAAAAGGAAGUUAGAAUAAGGUUAGUCACUCAUUAUGCAAAUAUUUUGAGUAAGUACUGGCCAUGUGCUAGACACUGUUGAGACCUCUAAGGUUACAAUAUUCCUGCCCUCUUGCAGUUAAUUAAUAUGAAAGAUCACUGAAAAAUGAACUGAAACCAGGAUAUAUAUGACAGGAUGACAGAUUUCACGAAGGUAACAUAGUGAUAUUCUUCUGACUUGUAUUCAUUUAAAAAUCAGAUUACAGAAUUUUCCUAAAUAUGAAAAUAGCAUCAGAUAUAAUUAGGAUGGCUGAUUAUUGCUCUGGGCAGUACAGGUCAUGGCAUUCUGUGUAACUUCAUGAAUUUAAUUUAACAAAUGGCAGUGGUGGUGUUUGGGAACAGGGGUUAUGUUGUUCCUGCUUGGCCUUUUUAACAGAGGCCAACAUUGAAGAGUCUGGAGUUUCCAAUGACAUAAAUUGGUGCCAUUUUUAAGCAGUAGUAAGUCCUUCUUUGCCAAAGCAUGGGUCUCAGGUGGAAACCUGUGAUGGAAAGUGUAAUUCAAACCUAUGAAAUUAGGUGCUACAUAGUCAUUGCUUUUGAUUAUAAACAUGUCAUCUGAGAAGGCAGUUGGAAUUUUUAUUCCUGGAGAGCUUUGCAUCCGAUCACAUUUCCACUUCAAAGACAGAUUUAAGGGAAUGAUUUUAUCUCAACCUGUUUGAAUGCUACCCCCUGUUAAAGAGCUAAGGAUUUUCCUUUUAAGUUAUAAAAUAAGCUUUUUGAAAAAAGAUAGGUGGUUUAAAAUAUUUCAGAGAAGUCUUAAGGAACUUAUCAGCAUUUGCCCUCAUGGGAGCUUUUGAAAUAGUGACGGGAUGACUGAUUAUUUCUCUCCUCUGUGCUAAUAAUAAUCCUGGAACCUCAGACUGAAUUCUGAAGAAUCCUCCUGUAAGUUUUACUAAAUGCAACAGGAAUGCCUCUUCCCCUGCACACGUUUCUUUUCUUUUCCUUGUUCUCUCUGUUUUUUCGAUUUCUUUUUAAGCAGCAGAAUAUUGAUCCAGGUAUGGUGGCACAAACCUCUAGUCCUAGCUUCUCUGGAGGCUGAAACAGGAGGAUCACUUGAGCCCAGGAGUUCCAAAUCAACCUGAGUAACAUAGUGAGACCCCCAUAUCAUAAAAUACAUUGGAAUGAACCUCAAUUCUAAACCGUGGAGUAGACAGUUUUUGUCUUAAAAAUCAAAACUACUGGUUCUUUUAUAAUGCUCCUUUCUUCUGAAACAAUAGCAUAUGUCGAAUAUCCUCUUUGACAUCAGUACAGGAAGGAGUUGGCCUAGUAAAAUCUCAGAUGUGGUUAAUUUUAUGGCCAAGGUAGGUUGAAGGGCUUGGAAAUGGCCCCAGCUGUCUAGGAUUGACCUGUAAAAAAAGAAAAGGUAGGAGGAGGUGAAGAAUGGAUCCUAUUAUUGUUUUUGAUUAUUUUAAAACUUUAUUUCAAUAUUCACAGCAAGGGAAACUGAAAUGAGAUGCAGCUGUCUGCUCCUUUUGACAGGUUGCUUUGAAGUGCAUGUUCUUUGUGGUCUCCUGGGUGAUCUGAUGUCCACAAACAGAGCUUUUGCAAGUGCCUAUUGCUUCUCUCUAUGUGUGUCUGAUGACACUGCCACCUAGGACCCCAUGAAGAAGGCAAAGACACAUCAGCUUUGUCUUUAGUACUCUAGUAACUUAAUUUUUUUUUUUUAGAUAAUGUUAGAGAUGACUUGACUACUACCAGAAACUGCUUAGAAGCAAAUGAAGUCAUCAACAAAGUGGGCAAGAAAUGGUUCAUAUAGUGCUUUGAAAUUUUUGACUUAACUUGCAAGACUGCAAUUUUGGUUGAUUUUAUGUACAUAGACUCUCAUGUCUAUGUAUAAAAUUCCUGAAUAUCUAGUGUGAGGGACAACAAACAUAGACUUUUUUUUUUUUUUACUACUACUACAAAUGUGCAAAAUUAACAUGAAUUUAAAACAAAGAAUGUUCAAAGGAUUUUUUUCCUGUUUGUUUGUUUUUGUUUUUCAUUCUUUUUGGAGCUGGGGCUGAACCUGGGCCUUGCACAUUAAGGGUAAGUGCUCUACCACUGAGCUACACCUCAGCCCUUCAAAGGAAUUUCAUACUCUUAAUUGUUCUUCAUUAUUGAAGUUGAACACUGCAUAAGAAAUGAAAGUAGAGGUUAAGAAGUUUCUCAAAGUUUUCUCCAAAUACAAACAAAACAUUCUUUUAGAAUGUUACUAUUCUUAAAGUACAGCUACUUUGCCCCAGGGCAAAGACUAGGAGAUUUGGUUCCCACAGUUUCUAACUUCUGUGCUAGUCGUCUCCAGACUUCCAUGUUCCCUUCGAUAAAAUUUUUUGAGCAAUGUGUGUGUUAGUUUCUUCUAGGGUAUUUGUAUGUAUUUAUGAGUAGCUAUCAAGUCUCACUAAUCUUAAAGUGAGAUUUAACAACAUUGAUGCACAUGUGUAUUUCAAACAGUUUUAACAGUUAAAUGUUCUUAGCCAGAUUUUUCUCAAAUCUGAUGAGAUUCUCUUUGUUUUAAUUCAUGAUGUAGCUGAUGAAAGACUUGGGGGGGGGGUCAUCUCUUUUUAUUGUUUGUUUCUUGCAUUAUAAAGUGACUUCAAUCCAUGAUUUAUUUGCAGGGAUCCCUUUAAGCCAUUUUUUAAAGAUUAGUUUGUUAAAUAAAAUUUUUACACUCACCCAUCUUGACAUAGAUAGUUAUAGUUUGCUAUACAUUCCAAGUGGAAAGUAAGGAGUUUGGGAGCUACUGGAAUUUACACUCAGCUCUUGGGUCACUUCAAUAUAGACAGGAGGUGAGGCUUCAAAUGCUGCAGAUGUCACUGGAGGGCUGUAAUUGGUGUCAAUGAAGAUUGAUUUCCUUUUAAAUGAAAUGUAAAUAAAUAAAUAUAUAUAAUCAUAUUCUUUCUACAUCUUAUGAGAUCCUUGAUAGCAUUGCAGUUUUAGAAGUCACUAUUUUAAAUUAUUUCCAUAUUUCUACCUCUUCACAACCAUCUUUUCCCAGAGAACAGAAGUAAUCUCUAACAUGUCUUCCUUUUUCCUCUGACACUAGGGAUGCAAGGACUUGUGCACCAGUGCUGGUGGUUGUAUGUGAUUAUAACUCUGACCAGCUCUUCUGUUUGGGGGAAGCUGAGGGGACAUGUUAACAUUCCUGAAGCCACAGUUCCAGUUGCUGCCUACCUCUUAUGCUACCAUAGUGACCAUGUGUUGGUUAUUGAUUUUCUCACCUCCAGUGUUGCAUCCUCCAGAUAAUCAGAUGGAAGAAUAGGCUGGGGUGGGGAUGCCUUUUGAUAUGAAGGAAUGGGAGAAGAGAUGAUUAAGACAAGAGAAGGUAAGAGUGACAUUGUACUGGCUUAUUUCCCUCAGCAAGCUACUUGUGGUUUUCUGCCUGGAAAUUAAGGAAGAGGUCACUGUUUAAGAUAUUAAGUUGACUAAAGAACGCUUGAAUUAGGGAGGUUAUAGAUUUGUAGUUACUCAGAACUCCAGCAUGCAGUCUUAUUUAGGAACAGAGGGAACAUAAAGUUAAUUGACCUAGAGCUGGGUUUUAUUCCCCAUCAAGCUCAACAAGUAAAGCAGGGGAUUUGAACAAUGGAAGGGAGCAGAGGGCAUAGGUUGCAUUUUCACUUUAGAAUCAGGCCUUAUGGAAUUCAGAGGAACGGAUUUGGGAAAAAGGAUCUUGGUGGGAGUUUGGGCCAGGGUGAUGGAAGGCUAGAGCAGUGUUCAUCCAUGUAGAGAAGCAGAUUUAUGACUGCUUUUUGGAUUAUUGUCUAAGGGUUGAAAGAAUGAAUUUUGGGUAGCUUCAGUAUUUCUUUAAAAAUUAGUCUCAGCUAUUCCAAGUCUUCACUGAUUGUGUGUGUAUGUGUAUUCACAUGCGCAUGAGUGCGCACUAAUAGCAGAAUCCGCAUGGAGAAAGCACUAAUGGCCAGCCCUUGGAGUUGGGUAGAGAGUGGAAGAGGCCACUGAUCAGCUGCUGUUGGUAUGCUGAAGGCCCUGGGCAGGCUGAGGGAUAUGUGAGUGCAGUUCUGGCUUCUCACAAAUGCAGGAGUCUCAGGUUCAGGAGGAUAGUAUUUUAGGAUGUACUCAUUACAUGUGGCUCUGAGCAUGAAUUUAAAAUGGAUUACCAUAAAGACUACUUUUCUAAAAGGAUCAGCCAGGUGGGAAAAUGUGCAUGGUUAUGUUAAUUAUCCAGUCUAAAAACAGCUUGUUUCAAAAGUAACCAGCCAACGGACUAUGUUCUAGGCAAUGGUCUAGUUACAGUUUAUCUGCUUGAGAAAUGACUGCUGCAUUUCAAGGACUAGAUAGGCUUAAAGCCAUGUCUUCAUAGACUUUACAGUGACAUAUCUGAUCACAAAUUGAGUUGUUUCUCUUGGGAAAUUUCAUGACAGGAAGUUUUAUUUAAUGCUUAUAUUUUUUAAGUCUCUUAUUUGUGUGUCAGUUUUGGUUUAUAAAAGCUCUGAAUACAAA